AACACGCUGGCGGCAGGCCUAACACAUGCAAGUCGAGCGAACCCUUCGGGGUUAGCGGCGGACGGAUUAGUAACGCGUGGGAAUAUACCCUUUGGUACGGAAUAGCCUCGGGAAACUGAGAGUAAUACCGUAUGUGCCCUUCGGGGGAAAGAUUUAUCGCCAAAGGAUUAGCCCGCGUUGGAUUAGAUAGUUGGUGGGGUAAUGGCCUACCAAGUCUACGAUCCAUAGCUGGUUUGAGAGGAUGAUCAGCAACACUGGGACUGAGACACGGCCCAGACUCCUACGGGAGGCAGCAGUGGGGAAUCUUAGACAAUGGGCGCAAGCCUGAUCUAGCCAUGCCGCGUGGACGACGAAGGCCUUAGGGUUGUAAAGUCCUUUCAGAUGGGAAGAUAAUGACGGUACCAUCAGAAGAAGCCCCGGCUAACUCCGUG
RNAcentral lists this ribosomal RNA (431 nucleotides) under uncultured bacterium. Its description in RNAcentral is "bacterial SSU rRNA". It matches the Rfam family "Bacterial small subunit ribosomal RNA", at positions 33 to 507 of the family's 1533-position model. The record is from RNAcentral.